CCACAAUCUAUAUUGUCCUCCCAUCAUUUGGUCCUGGAGAAAUUAGCUUAUCAUCUGCUUAAAUGCAAUUUCGCCAUUGUUUUAAAUGACGUAAUUGACUCAGCCGCCUUGACAUCUUGCAGGAGACUAUUCCAUAGAAUUGCUCCACUGUAUCCAAAUGUUUUCUUUAGAAAUUCCGUUUUCGGUUUUUUUAACGAGAGAUCA
RNAcentral lists this long non-coding RNA (204 nucleotides) under Paramuricea clavata. The record is from RNAcentral. Lineage: Eukaryota; Metazoa; Cnidaria; Anthozoa; Malacalcyonacea; Plexauridae.